CAGGGAGACAACAAAAUGUUUAAUAUUAUUAUUUUGUCACCUUAAGUCGAUCGGUAUCUCACAUUCUUAAUUUAUUAAGAAUUUCAUUUCCUAAGUUUUCUAGGUCACACCCAUUAUUUUUCCUGGGCCAUUAGCUCAGGUGGUUAGAGCGCACCCCUGAUAAGGGUGAGGUCCCUGGUUCAAGUCCAGGAUGGCCCAUAUCUCUAUGUUGGGGGUAUAGCUCAGUUGGUAGAGCGCCUGCUUUGCAAGCAGGAUGUCAGCGGUUCGAGUCCGCUUACCUCCACUGAUUACCACCUCUACCAUAAUCUGUAGAAAGGAAAAUUUUGUGAUGUGAUCAACUUUCUGAACGAAUCUAGCUUCCUAAUAAAACCAUUAAGAUGCUGGACUCAUUGAAUUAAUUUCAUUGUUUUCAGAGAACCUUGACAACUGCAUAGAUUAUUUUUAAAGACAAUAAGCAUCUUUAUGAUGCAGAUUUAUUAUUUGUGCGAAUGCAUUAAUAACAAUUCUAUUAAGCUGAUGCUUCAAUUAUGAAGUUAUU
Molecule: transfer RNA, 538 nt
Filed under: uncultured cyanobacterium
Lineage: Bacteria; Bacillati; Cyanobacteriota
Description: partial 16S-23S ribosomal RNA intergenic spacer
Rfam family: tRNA (bases 211-283)
Source: RNAcentral